RNAcentral lists this non-coding RNA (45 nucleotides) under Schistosoma mattheei. Lineage: Eukaryota; Metazoa; Platyhelminthes; Trematoda; Strigeidida; Schistosomatidae. The record is from RNAcentral.
AUCCAACUGAAGAGUCCCAAAUAGGACGAAACGCGCAUCCUGGAU